Ooceraea biroi (clonal raider ant) is the source of this 1703-nucleotide long non-coding RNA. RefSeq lists it as uncharacterized. The record is from RefSeq and is a predicted model, not a curated record. Lineage: Eukaryota; Metazoa; Arthropoda; Insecta; Hymenoptera; Formicidae.
GUCAAGCACAGUCAAACACGCUCACACACGCAAGUGCACACAUAUGUCAAGUGUUUCACAUGGGAGAACAUCCUUACGCAUAAACGGUGAUUAAUCACAGGCUGUUUUGCAUGCAGAGAAAAAAAUUUGCAUUAUUAGACGAAAAUCCAUGACAAUCCACUUCAGAACUCGCAAGAGCAUUAAAUGUUGAUCGGACUACAAUUACUGAACGUUUACACGCCAUGGGAAAAAUUCAGAAAGAAGGAAAAUGGGUUUCAUCAUAGAAACAGAAAAGGUAUAAAAUUUUAUUAUAUUUUCGAAUAAUUUUAAUAUAUAAGAAUGUGUGUGUAAUAUUGGUUUACUUUUAUCGUGCUUCAUUUCUUACAAAAAGAUAGAAAAUUUAUUCUAAAAUUUUUAACUAGAAUUUCGAUUUCGAAGAUCAAGAAUUAAAUCUUACAGAAUAAGAUUUUGUAAAUUUUGUAAAAACUUGUUUCCUUGUAGAGAUCAAAGUAUUCAUGAUCGGGUACACGUCGCCGAUUUAUUGCUUUAAUUGCGCUGAUUUAUCAAUUCAUUCAUUUUAUAGAAAAUUCCAAAAGAAAAUUUGUGUGAACUCUAUAUUUAAGAAUAUAUAAUAAAAUAUUAACCAAUUCCAUAUCUGUUAGUUUUCAUGAAAAAUUCUAAAGAAAUAAUCAGUCUUGAGAUGUUUAUUUAAAUAAAACAGUAUCCAAUCACAUGUUUUACAAUAUUAACUUCAUACCCAGUCUUUCUUAAUACAUAUCCAAGUGAUUAAACAGACCAUUGCGAUCUUCUUAUACAUAAUAAAAACUGAAAUGAUAUUAAAAUUCCAUGAACACGUGAAGAGAUAGAAAUUGUAUUAUCAAUGACCUAUAAAAUAAAAAAACAAGAUGUUUAAAAUGUUUAUGCCUUUUAAGUAUUUCAGAUGUCCAGAAAAAUUAUUAAGAGAAUUUAUGAGAAAGCUCGUUUUCUCCCUUUUUAAUUCCCUCGUCAAUUAUACAUUCGAUUCGCUUUGUCCGAUUAUCAUUGGAGCAUAUUCAGUAUAAAAAUUCUAGUCAAGCCAUGGUCGCACACCACUAAAAUACAGACGUAGAAUAUGGCAUAUUAAUGUAAUUCUUUGCGAUAAUCACGGUUAUUUACUUAUUUUUGUUUUUGUAUUUUGUACAUGGCACUCGAUGAAGCUUCGCAUUACGUCUGGAGGUAUGUACUUGCUAUAUAAAUGUUGUUGGAAAACUAUCUUGAACGGUAUACUGAAUCAUUAUUGUGUCAAUCAGUAUAUACCGAUAAUAGAUACAAGGCAAAUAAUCUAAAAUACUUGAUAAUCAUCUUUUUUAUAAUUUUACCGAUUUCAUAUAUACAUAUAAAAUCAGUAAUUCAUAAUUCAUUCUGUACAUCUCGUAUAUUAAUACUUGUACAGAUAACACAUUAAACUUAUUAACAUCUUAAUACAGAGAGGCAUAACGAGAAAAGCGAAGUAUUUAUAUUCGCAUUAUAUUGUUCUCUUUAUGAUAUUGCGUUUCCUAAUUUGCCUGUUUGCUGUGUUAAUAUAACAAAUUUUGUUUAUCAUAAUUAAUGUAUUCUAUAUUAUUUAUAAUGCUGUGAGAAACGAUUAAUUAAAAUAACAUUUGUAAUAUCGAAUGAUAAAAGAGAACACCUAAGGUAUAUAUCUUGUCGAUGUCCAAUAAUAAUGAAUUACAGUAAAGUAAUAA